Molecule: non-coding RNA, 85 nt
Organism: Oryctes borbonicus
Lineage: Eukaryota; Metazoa; Arthropoda; Insecta; Coleoptera; Scarabaeidae
Source: Rfam
AAGGUGGAGUUAUGUGGAAGACUAGUGAUUUUGUUGUUCUAUAUUUGGUAACAAAAAAUCACUAAUCAUCCCAUAAAAUCGCCGA